GAUGAACGCUGGCGGCGUGCCUAACACAUGCAAGUCGAACGAAGCUCCCGGACGGAGCCCCUCGGGGCGAGGGAAGGGAUGACUGAGUGGCGGACGGGUGAGUAACGCGUGGGUAACCUGCCCUGUACAGGGGAAUAACAGUCAGAAAUGACUGCUAAUACCGCAUGAGCGCACGGGACCGCAUGGUCCGGUGUGAAAAACUCCGGUGGUACAGGAUGGGCCCGCGUCUGAUUAGCUGGUUGGCAGGGUAACGGCCUACCAAGGCGACGAUCAGUAGCCGGCCUGAGAGGGUGAACGGCCACAUUGGGACUGAGACACGGCCCAAACUCC
This 330-nucleotide ribosomal RNA is filed under the name uncultured Ruminococcus sp. RNAcentral's name for it is "bacterial SSU rRNA". It matches the Rfam family "Bacterial small subunit ribosomal RNA", at positions 28 to 339 of the family's 1533-position model. The record is from RNAcentral. Lineage: Bacteria; Bacillati; Bacillota; Clostridia; Eubacteriales; Oscillospiraceae.